Molecule: long non-coding RNA, 960 nt
Organism: Ctenopharyngodon idella (grass carp)
Lineage: Eukaryota; Metazoa; Chordata; Actinopteri; Cypriniformes; Xenocyprididae
Exons: 3
Source: RefSeq, a predicted model, not a curated record
UUCCACGUUUAAAAAGACUGAAAAACCCUUUGAAUCUGCCUGAUAAAUUCUCCGAAUAAACCCACGAAUCGUCAGAGCGGCUUCUGAAUCAACUUGUUUAUUUGAUCUAUGAAUUAUUUUCUUUAAAUCAGCGAAACAUUUAUUUACAUGAACUGUGCAAACGAAUCGAUUCAAAAAAUGAACCGGAUAUCCCAACGCUAUGUUCGAGAGAAAGAGUAGUUUGUUUACGUCAGUUAGCGUUGCUGUAAAAUGGCGCUAAAAUAAUACGAUAAAAAAAAAAAAAAAAAAAAAAUCAGCAACUUUGCACUAUUACUCGAUGGAAUAAGAAUCCUGUUAUUGGAAAAGCUACAUUGUUUGAAAACAGUGGAGCUACUGUUACACUACUGAAAAUAGUGUUAGCGUGAGAGUGAACAGUGAGGAGGAUCUGAACUCGCAGGUGUUGUCACCUCAGGGAACAGGCGGCCAUGACAAAGACAUCUGACAGGAGACAGUCUCACCUAUUGUCAGGUGUCUGUUACACUGAGUCUGACAUAGAUGACGGCUCCCUACAAGACUUCUACCAAAACUGAUGAGGCACAGAGUGUCUUUCUGUCAGAGGGUGGGAUGACUGAACAGACUGACUUCACCGGUUGGCUGUUGACUUGGUGGAUGGCAACAUCAGUGGCACAACCAGAGGCAAAGUCACACUCCAUGGCAAACUCACACGGAGUGAAGCCAUCUGCUCCUCUCUCACAACUCUGGAACAAACACACAAAACUGUCAAAAGUUCCCCACGUUUGCUUUACGAUCUUUCUCUCUCUCCUUCACUUUCUCUCUUGCACUUUCUAUUUCCCACCCUUUUCUUGCACACUCAGUAACACUAUUCCAAGUACAAGUCACAUGUGCUUCCAGAAGUGGUCAUUAUGUUUUGUGUAAACGUUUGCCCUUUGACUCUGCAGUUUCCCGUUGUUGGGUGGGUUG